Molecule: long non-coding RNA, 333 nt
Filed under: Cricetulus griseus (Chinese hamster)
Lineage: Eukaryota; Metazoa; Chordata; Mammalia; Rodentia; Cricetidae
Description: lncRNA (ENSCGRG00015043172.1)
Source: RNAcentral
AAGACUGUCUUCUUGAACAUCGGUGGAGCUUAUUUUCAGGUAACCUUGAUAUUUCAGACAGAAAAAUGGCAUACCAGGAACUCUGUCAAUCAGAAUAUAGCAGAAGAAGACAAAAGCUUUAGAAAGAAGAAACACUUUCCCUGUCUGCUUCACCAUACACUAAAGCACCAGAACAGAGGCACGAAGUGCUUUGGAAUAUUCAGAGUUUCUGCAAAGCAUGAGCCAUCAGUAGCAGUCUUGAAAAUAUUAUUUUAUCAAAGACAUGAGAACACAGAGUUAUAUUAUAUCUCUUUGUGCUUUUGAUCUGACUCAUGAUGCUGGCAUCUAUCCAUG